AGUGAACGCUGGCGGUAGGCCUAACACAUGCAAGUCGAACGGCAGCACAGUAAGAGCUUGCUCUUACGGGUGGCGAGUGGCGGACGGGUGAGGAAUACAUCUGAAUCUACUUUUUCGUGGGGGAUAACGUAGGGAAACUUACGCUAAUACCGCAUACGACCUACGGGUGAAAGCAGGGGAUCUUCGGACCUUGCGCGAUUGAAUGAGCCGAUGUCGGAUUAGCUAGUUGGCGGGGUAAAGGCCCACCAAGGCGACGAUCCGUAGCUGGUCUGAGAGGAUGAUCAGCCACACUGGAACUGAGACACGGUCCAGACUCCUACGGGAGGCAGCAGUGGGGAAUAUUGGACAAUGGACGCAAGCCUGAUCCAGCCAUACCGCGUGGGUGAAGAAGGCCUUCGGGUUGUAAAGCCCUUUUGUUGGGAAAGAAAAGCAGCAGGUUAAUACCCCGCUGUUCUGACGGUACCCAAAGAAUAAGCACCGGCUAACUUCGUG
This 492-nucleotide ribosomal RNA is filed under the name uncultured bacterium. RNAcentral's name for it is "partial 16S ribosomal RNA". It matches the Rfam family "Bacterial small subunit ribosomal RNA", at positions 29 to 507 of the family's 1533-position model. The record is from RNAcentral.